RNAcentral lists this ribosomal RNA (253 nucleotides) under uncultured bacterium. Its description in RNAcentral is "partial 16S ribosomal RNA". It matches the Rfam family "Bacterial small subunit ribosomal RNA", at positions 524 to 776 of the family's 1533-position model. The record is from RNAcentral.
UACGUAGGGGGCAAGCGUUGUCCGGAAUCAUUGGGCGUAAAGCGCGUGUAGGUGGCUCGGUAAGUCUGCUGUGAAAGUCCAGGGCUCAACCCUGGGAUGCCGGUGGAUACUGUCGAGCUGGAGUCCGGAAGAGGCGAGUGGAAUUCCUGGUGUAGCGGUGAAAUGCGCAGAUAUCAGGAGGAACACCAAUGGCGAAGGCAGCUCGCUGGGACGUGACUGACGCUGAGGCGCGAAAGCUAGGGGAGCGAACAGG